Podarcis lilfordi (Lilford's wall lizard) is the source of this 5262-nucleotide non-coding RNA. Lineage: Eukaryota; Metazoa; Chordata; Lepidosauria; Squamata; Lacertidae. The record is from the annotation of a GenBank genome assembly.
GGGCUGGGUGUGGAAAACCCAAGGUCAAAAUUGUGGUCAGCAGCGUCGUUUCUUGGGAGGCUUUGGGCAAAUCACUAGAUUGGGAAAGACAUAAUAACUUAGUUCUUUCAUAAUGCCAGACCACUCUUCCUUAACUUGGUGCCCACCAAAUGUUUUGGACUACAACUCCUAUCAGGCCUACCCAGCAUCUGUGCGGGGGGGUUAGUUCAAAACAUCUGGAGGGCACUAGGUUGGAGAAGGCUGUCCUAAACUAUAGUUGCAAAGAGAGAGAAAAAAUCGGCUUUGGUUUUCAGUUCAUUUGGAGGCAGAUGAUUGGUUGCAUACUGCUUGCCCAGUUCAGUUGCAAAAACUUACUGGUUUCAUAGAAUACUAGAGUUGGAAGGGACCCUGAGGAUCAUUGAGCCCAACCAUCUGCAGUGCAGGAAUAUGCAGCUGUCCCUUAUUGGGGAUCGAACCUGCAACCUUGGCGUUAUCAGCACCACACUGUGACCAACUGAGCUAUCCAAGCUGGUUUGUACCAAAUAGGAAGGGUUUUGAGUUUGCAAGGGGAGGAAGAGGUAAGCAAGCCCACAACGCAUCCCAGUUCCCCAAACGGUGGCAUCAUUUAGGUGCCAUAAUAGGGGUGCUUGCCUUGGGAACCACCUGGAAAAUGCUAUAAUACUGGUAUCAGAGGUCUCAUUGCAUUUCAAGGAAGUUUCAGGGGAAAGCCCAGACAUCAGCUUGCUCAGAGCUGUAAAGAGAGCAAGCAGGCUAGGCAGAUACUGCUGUAACUUCUUGUUGUCUUUGUGCCUGCACGCCCUACACUGUAAAAUACAUCCAGCCACUGAAUACUGCUGGUAGGAAAGGAGAAAAUUAGAAAUGUAUGAAUCUGGCCAGCAGCUGCCCCUGAAACCAGCCAGCACAUUUUUGGACCACAGCUUUCUAUCUGAGAAACGAAAGCCUGUGGUUACAACCUUCCUUAACUUGUUCUGGGCUCCAGCUAUUUCAUACCUUAUCCAAACCAUAGAAUUAGGGCCAAUGAGUACAUAGCAACAGUAUAAAUACAUAGUAGAAACCUCCUUGAAGCUCUGGUGCCAGUUGCUCAUUCCAUGAUUUCAUGUGAGCAGGCUCCUUCAGUUCUUCCUGCAAUUGUGUUUGCUUUUUAGGAAUGUCAAAGGAAAAUAAACAGGUAUCGGCUGGUCAGAUUAUCCCCCAAAAUCAUAAGCCUGAAAAGCUUGAGAGGAGUGUUAAAAUAACAUCAUGCUGAAGAUAUGGCUGCUGCUCCCUGUUCCUUUUGCAGCAGCAUUUUAAAAGAAAUGAUUAGCAGUGUCUUGUGGAUUGCAUCAGAAAAGUUGUUUAUCUACAAUGAAAACAAAACUAAAUCCCAAAGUCUCUCAAUUUCACCGUGUUGAAAGGUAUAAUGCUAGACUAAUGAGUGAUUAAUGAGUUGCAUACAUCUAAUAAGAGUAUCAAGAGGGAAGUCUUAUGGAGAAAGUUUUUCUUGCUUCAGACUGCAAUCCUGUAGACACUUACCUACACAGUGGGACUUUUUGUCUGAACAAAAAUGAGUAAGGUUGCACUGUAAGUGUACAUAGUCUCUCACACAGCCACAUUAGGUGAGUAAUUUGAUUUAACUUGAUAUUAGAACCAUAAAGGUCUCCCAUAAGUAGGAACUGAAGAAACAUUUGUUAGGUACAUUACACUGAAGUACCUCACUUUCUGAUCUGUGAGAUUUCUCCUUCCACUGUCUGGGAGUCUUGUGAAAUCUGCUUUAGUCGUGCCUUGCAAAAAUAGCUGACAGGGAAGCACAAGCAUUUCUGUAUUUGCUUGAAAUGAGACAUGUUGUUGUCAACUUUAUGAAAGCAUAUUGUGGGGGUUUGAGAAGAAAACAACUUUUCUUUUGAAGACUUGCCAGCUUUUCCUGCUGUCAUAAUGAACUGAUAAAAUUAGUUUGGUUGGAUGACAUUUUUCUUAAUUUUGAACUUUAGUGUACGUUCAGUACAUUUCCUAUAAUGGACUUUCCUCUGGCAGUACGUUCUCAGAUAAGAGAUUCAGAGCCAUAGUUUUGUUCUCCUACUGAAUGUAGGUCAUAUCUUGCCCUGACCUUUCCCACAUAAGUGCUCCACAAAACUCUGCCUGCUUGCCGUAAAGAAGUGUACCUCCUCUAAUGCUGUGCCUUUUGAAAUGUUAAUAUGACAUUUCAGGGCUUCAGAGUUUUGAGCAGUUUAAAGCAGCAAAGGUAUUUCAAAUGGCCAAAUUAAAUUGCUGAACAUUAUGGAAAACGAAAAGUUUUGCUUUUUAAAACUAAAUAACCCUGCUAGAAAAAGUAAGGGAAACAGAAAUUUCAUCCCAUCCCAGAACCAUUUGAAAGAUGGCUUUGACGUACAGUAUUAUUGGGGUUUAUAACUGCAUUUAAAAGAAUGGGAGGCGAUAUUAAUAAUAUCCAUAGUUGAUUGAAUCUGUUGCUGUUUUUUGUGAUAAGCAAUAAAAGUGGUUAUAACGAUGAUGUUGAACAUAGUUUUUUAAAGCUAUGUUUCUAAUUUAAUGUGCUUUGUCCAAAAUUCUGCAGCUUGCUACUUAGUUUUUGUGUAAGCAUCAAAUAGGCCAAACUAAUCUUUAAUAAAGCACCUGCGUUUUCACUACAGCCAAGCCUGUUUUGAAAAUCCAUAUGCAAAUUAGGGUUCAAUGUUUGAUGUGUGCCUGUGAAACUAAAUGAAAAUUACCGUAGUUGAUUGAUUGGUUGGUUGGUGGGUUUUUAGUAAGGAAAGAGGAAAGGAGACAUAUGCUUUCAGAAUUUUGUCAUUUUAGUGAUGCUAAAUUCUUACAUACAAAAGGGAGAGAGACAUAAUCUGCAGCUUCCAUUUUAUUCAUAUGGACUCUAAAGUACUUGCCCUGCCACGCCACAUUUUCUUUUAUGGAUUGCUUUUUAGUCUGUUGAUGUUACAACAAGGAAGAUAAAGCCAUCUUGCAGCUUGUGACACCUGCUUUCAUACAUCCUAAUAAUUACUUCAGUUCAAGUCUGACAGCCAGAGCUUGCCAGAGUGCAUACAAAUCUUGACUUGCUUCAGGGUAAUAAAUUAUGUCAUAAUAGCUUUGCCGGAAAGUUCAGAUGUGUGUGGUAUGGUAAAAGAUUAAUAUUUCAAGGGGAAAUGGCUUGGAGUUGUGCUGCAUUGAAAUUAAAUAUGCUGCACACAGAUUAAUGUGGCAAUUUAUUUUUAGCCUUGCAUUUCCAGAGUAAGAUGCAGGGAACAUCAAACCAAGGUUUGCAGCCAGAAAUUCUGAGGAGGGUUUUUGCGGGGAGGGGAGAUGAUGCCAUAAAAACAAUUGGCAGAGGCUCUGAUUACAAAUUGAGAGGCAGGCAUCUAAAACAGGUUCUCCCUGGCAUUUUCAGCUGAGUUCUUGUGCAUGUCUUUUGAAUAGACUAGUGGCAGAAUAGUGGCAUGUUCCAGAGUGCAUUGCAGGCUAGAUAUGUGAAAAAAAUCUCAUACACAUGCACAAAAAUGUCUCAUCCGAGUCAUACUUUAGGUUCUUAGGGAUGUGCUGCCUAAACUACUGUUGGUGUUGUGCAAAAUCGGAAGUGCUCUUUUAUAGAAGAAAGGCAAGGACACAGCUUGUGCUCUGUUCGUGCUUUGUCCCCUUGUAGAGGCACUAUAACAUCUUCCAGUGAUCCAGGGCAUUGGUGCUCAAAGUAUUUAAAAUGAAUUUGAAACCUACAUUGGCAGAAGAAAGACUCAGGCUGGAUUUCUACAGUACUUCCAUGAGCUGGAACGAGCCCAAGUGAGAUUCAUGCCUGGUCCUGAAAAUAAAUCAUAUGUCAAAGACCAGGGUAAAGAAGUGCAUCUUCAGCUUAUGAUGGAAUAUAUGUGACAGAAAUGGUGUGACUCCAUCAUCUUUCUAGUCAUUGGGUGUUAUGGACCCUGGAUGAGCAAGUGACAGUGUUUGUUCUUUAGAGCCAGCAUGGUUUAGUGAUUAGAGUGACUGACUUUGGAGACCUGGUUUUAACUCCCCAUUCAGCCAUGACACAUACUGUACAACCUUAGGCCACUGACCCAUCUCUCAGCCUAACCCAUUUCACUUGAUUCUUAUGAGGAUAAAAUGAGAAGGACUUGGGAGGGAAGGGCAGGCUAAACAUAAAUACCCACUCUUCCACCCCAGGGCAGAGCAGUAUGGCGACAUUCGAAUUGGGAGAAAUUGUACUUGUAAACAGUUGCAAUAUGCGUUAGCUAAGCAGAGAAAGUUUCCCAAGUGAUAAUUAAAGCUCUUUAAUAAUGUGAUUUCGUUUUUUUAAUGGAAUCCAUGGUUGAAAACAAAAGCGGAGGUGGAGUCAACUUUAUCCAUCAAAAGCUGUAAUAUCAACAUUCUCAUGGGAACCCAAAAAUUAAGAGAGAUAAGUCUCCAGGGAAUAAGCAAACGCACAUGGAAUGAGCAAGAAAUCUGCCAAAACAAUUACACUUGUGUUGAAAAGCAAUUAUCUUGCCCAGCAAAUGCAUGAGAAACUAUUAAUGUUAGUGGCUAAACAUGUUCGCAUAACACACAGCUCUGGUCUACUUCAGAUUGUAAAUGUACAUGUAAUGACUCUUCACAGCAGCACGAUUAUUUCAUAAAUGCCUCAGCUAGGAUUAAAGCAAACAAUGAUGGGGUGUUUAAAACCAGUUUUAGACUAACCUGUACUAUUAAAGAUUGUAAUCUUAAUUGGCAGGUUCUACUAAAAUCAAUGGGCUGUGCUUUCAAGUAAAACACAAUUGAAGACCAGCACUCCACUGCUAUUUAUGAACUUGAAAGCAGAGUGCUAUAGGCGUCAGAUGAGGCAAAGCCAAGUGCUGUCUCUUAACUUACGCUGCAGACAAAAAUAGUGGAUAUUUCAUAAAACCAUCUCUGUUGAUAGCUUCUCUCAAAUAGAAAUAACGAAGCACUCUCCUUACCUACCCUACCUCAGCAAAAAAAAGUGCCUUAAAGCAGAACCCUUUAAAAGAACUUAGAUAGUUGCCAAGUGCUGUAUCUAAAAUCAGUUAGGAAACUGUUCCUGUAAAUAUUCCUUAACCCUGCAUAGCUGAUCUAUAAAGAGAAGUGGUGCUGGUUACUCCUGCAGUUAAGGAAGCUAAUGUGGAAGUUGCAAGUUCCCAGAAUAGCAUUCUAUUAUCAGGGAAAAAAUGUCAAGACAUCUUUAGAACUGACUCAGUGGGCCCCUGUACAGGCUUUCCCCCUCUUCUCUGCACUGAAUUGGCCUGCCAUUAACUUUCUAUGCAAACUAUGCAAGUGGCUUGUGAGCAGGAAAGGGACAUU